UUCUCGAAAACUUAAGAACUUAUAGUCCAUAACAUAAGGCUUAUGGUUGAUAUUACUUUGUUUUACUUUGCUCUCCUUCUGGGAUAUAUUGGAAAUCUCUUUCCCAUAACCAUAUUUUAAAUAGCUGAAUGACAGAUACUCGGUAUCACUCUUUCACUUGCCUGACAAAGAUUGUCACUGUGAAGUGAAAGGUGAAUCAUGACAAAUUCUUCCUGAAUAAAUAAAUGAGUAACUAGAAAAGAAAGAGAUGCUUACCUUCCGAAAUACUUCCUCUAGGUGGCAGCACCAAGAAUAUUUCCGGAAGCAGGCGACCAGUUGUGUGAUGAAGAUGGAGCCCACUGUGCUGUCUCUCCAGGACACGUUAUCUGUGAUGAUACAGGUUCAAGCGAUUCUCCUGCCUCAGCCUCCAGAGCAGAUGGGACCACAGGCACCCACCACCACACCCAGCUGCAUACCUUCUUCUACUCAUCCGUCUCUUCUGAUCUGUCGGUUAUUCUUCCGCUGCUCAUCUAAAAAAACCUGUCCUGACUCCCAUUCUUCUUUUAUGAAUACUUGAUGUCUGGGCGAAUUGGACCGAUGAAUGAUCUCAACAUGGCAGAACCUUCCUACACAGAGUCAGACUCUAAUGUACCACAGCACAGAACAUCUUCCAUAUAAUUCUCUGUUAUGGCUCAGCAUUCCAAUAAAAAAUUUGGAAACAUAGACAAAUUAUUACUAAUUCAUCGAACAGAUAUGUAAAAUUGAUCUCUUGGAUAGAGGGAAUUGUGUGUAUAACUUGGAACAAAGCUUAAGUUGGUCUUUGAAAAUCUUAUCUAAAUUCCCUGCAGGUAUAGACCCACUAGUGGGUGAUUGUCAGUUUUUGUAUUGAUAACCCCAACAAAGAUGUCCUGUGUAGAACCUGCUACCUGGUGUGGAAGAGCAGAAAGCAAUAAAAUCCUUCUCUAUGUGGGCUUUCCCAAUGGCAUCAUCUUCAAAAGCUUCUGUAGUUGGUAAAGAUGUGUUUUCAGAGACUCCUGCUGAGUCUUUUAACCACACCACACCUUCGUUCUCUGGAAAGACAAAAUUUGAUUUGUUACUAGUACCAACAGCUGAGAAGAUGAUGUUUUCCUCCUAGCCUCUGUUCCGGGAUAUUUAUUAAUGUGUUUGCUCUAUAAUUAAUUAACAUGCAAAUACACACAUACAUUUCAGUUACAAUCUUUUCAACAAUUCUUAACUUUUCUGAUCAUGAAGCAAAUUCGAAAAAUGUCCAAACACCAAAGUCUCAAGCUUUAAUAUGGGACAAAUAUCUACCAACCAGCCAUUCAAUCCACAGAAACCACAGUCUUGAGUGCUGACAUUACAUGUUCUUUGACAUUAAAAGACAGACAAAAAGAAACUGAAAAAUCCUGGAUGCAUACAGCUGAGGACAGUAUUUGAAUGUCUGGUGUUCUCAAAGACCUUGGCACUCACCACCACGACAGGCCUGGAUGAUGAUCACCUUGGGUUUGUCCUUCAAACUUGGGCAGUUCUUGGUAUUCAAAUUUCUAAAGAUUUCAUUGACUCGUAAUAUAUCGGGGACUUGCUCAGAGUAUUUCUUCCCACAAAUGCCUUCCCGAAUACCAUGAGACAUGAACACCAGGAAGGUGCUAUCAGAGGUCUUGUGCUCUGGGCGGUGUGCAAACGCCUCCAGCUCUGUAGUCAUUUCCUGAAAGAGACCACACCGCUGAUUUUGCACUGUGUAAUUAACUAUCACGGCACCUUGGAAAGCCGAUGAAUAAAUACUUAAGGAAUUGCUUAAGGAAUUCCAUGACAAACAAUGGAGUGCCAAAAAAAUUUUAGUCUUAAUUUUUAGAAAGAAAAGUGUUAUAGGAAGUCAUCCAGAGUUAUCUUGUAGCGAGACAGUGACAUUACUGAGCUAAUAAAGCAUUUCCCAAUUAAGUUACACCAAGCUUGUGCUGAAAGACUCUUAUGUUACAAGGGAACAUGUAGUAUCCAGCACUCUCUCAUGGUAAGUUUAUAUUUUAGAUUAUCAAGAGAUUACAUUUCUUGGUCUUACAACCAAGCUUUCUAAUAUUAUUUAGUUAUAUGAAGGGCAUGACCAUCGUCUCUUAGUUCUGUUAAUAGAACUUACUGAAGCAGUGAGAUUUUUUCUCACAUCCACACUGUACCCCAGAUUUUUUAGCAGUAUUUCCAUGCCUGUGAUGUCAACCUCAGCUCCAGUUCUUCUGGAAAGACUGUCAAAUUCUUCAUUGCAGAUAAUGAGAGCAAGACGUGUGCGGCUUGACUUGUCCAUUGUUGGAUAAAUCUACAGGAAAUGGAGUUUGAAUUAACAGCCUUGUCCUCUCCAAUUAAAUAUUCACCUUGCUGGUUUGCGACAGCUUUCCCUUCCUUAGUCCUAUGAAGAUACCAAAUCCCAUGAACUGUACAUUGAAAAGGGGUAACAGAAUUGAGUGCUGCUUCAAGAGCAGGCAUGGAAAUCGCAAAUGCCCAGAUGGCAGCCAAACUACUGACUUCAUUGUUCUUGAUAUGUAGGAUUUUGAAAGACCCACAAGCUUUGAAGCAAAAAAUGGCUGAAUUCUAAAACUGAUUUCUUCAAUUUCUGGUUAUCUUUGGUCAAAAUAUUUAACAAUCCUAUAUCUCAGCUUCUUGAUCUCCAAAAUGGGUUACGUUUAGGUUUAAAAUUAUUUAUUAUCGUGUGUGAAUUGCUUAGAACAAUGCCCACUCAUAGUAAGCAUUCAAUAGCUGCCAUCGCUGAUGUUAUUUACCCAGGAAGUGGAUCCAAUUUGGAACUCUUUCUCCAAACCUGGGAUUUUAGCAUACAGAAAUCCUUUAUGUGAGAGGAACAAAAGCGUAAUUCUCCAGAACUGCUCAAUGAAAUUGGCUCUAAGAAACGGUCACUGCAUUUCAGAACUGCCCCAAGUAUAUCUUUCACCCCACUCUAUCCGUGUGUUCUGAGCAUGGCACCUCUGCCGACUGUUCUUUCUUUAUCCUUUCAGCUUCUUCUGGGGGGCAAAGCUUGACAUUCCCUUCUGAGCGCAUCGGUGGCUUGUUCUGCACUGCCGGAGGAGCUGUAAGAGACGAAGAACGUUAUGAACCGUGGCGUUCCUCUUUGUUCCGCUUUGUGUUUCUUACAGCCUCACCUAUGGAUGAAGACACAGAAGAGGAAACGCACUCUGAGGAGGACAACCCUGAGCUACAUCAUCAACACAGCUGAAAGAGUUUGCUGCUAAUGGAACACCUUUCAGUCCAGAGAUCCCUGGGAACACUGGAACAUACAGCGUGAAGCUUUUCAGAUGCUUCUCACGAGCUUCAGCAAGUGAACUACCACAUACUCAGAACAGGAAAUGAGCUUCAAUCAGAAGACGGCCACUGAGGAUGAAGAAACAGAACCAAAGGAGAGUCAAGGGACAGGCACUGUCCCUUGUUACAGAAACAUGGCCCAGACGCCAGAGAUAAGAAAGUUUUCUGCAACUUAACAUGACUAGUAAAGACAUCACAUAUAGGCACGUUGAUAAGCCCUGUGUGCACCUGAGUGUGAGUCACUGAUCCUUACCUGCUGAGAGGCCCAGCUUCUCUGCCAGGUGACGAUCCUCUUCACAAAUGUACAUGAUGCAAACUUGGCAUGCCCGAGCCCCCUUCCGAAUAACAGAGUCAAGCAAAGCUCGGGCCUUAUCCAUGACUGUGGCAUUUUCACGUUUUACUUUCUCCAUCUCUUCCUCGUUCAGCACCCCUUUCUCUAGUAAUUCAUCCAGUAAGCCAUUUAUUGUACCUUCACCCACUGAACGGAUAAAGAGCCUCCUCUUCUCCUUCAGGAUCUUGUCUGUUCAGGGCACAAGGAUUUCUCACAUCAUGAGAACAGCCUCAUAUUCCUCUCAUGUCAUCAACAGAAAGAGAGCUCAUUUAAGUUUCAUCUGUAAAAUUCCCCCUCCUCAUACUUGGGUAAAAUCCCUCUUCUUACUGUAUCACUGUCCCACUCCUUUCUCUCAGUAGUCCCUGAACAUGUGCAUGGAGUGGCCUGAAGACUGAGUUUACCAUUUCCAGCUUCACCCCUGGAAAGCAGAGACCAUCCUUUUGUGUCUCAUGUUUAUUUAACUACGAAUAAUAAAGCAGCCCAUUCUCUCAGGAACAAUAGCUGCUAGUACUCCUCCUGUGCCAGUUCUGUACCCUCCGUUAGACUUACACAUGUAAGUUAGAGUUUAAUUAAGAUUGCAAAGUGACAGCCGGCUACCUCUGAAAGCCCUCAGUUCCUUUCUGGGUUUGCCUUUCCUUUCUAAAGGCUGCGAGAGUCUUCUGGUUUCUUCUCUCCUCCCUGUUCUCCCUCUCCCUCACUUCUGCCCACCUAGACUUCCACAGAUACUAAUUACGGCUUCCUGAAGAGCCAGCCCCUUCCAAAACUCUUCCUUCCCAGGGACCUGUCCUUGGGACAGUGUAAGACUCACCAGCCAUGGCUUUUCUCCUCUUCCUCCUUGUGUGAGCUGAAACUGAAAGUAUGCUUCACCUUCCUUUUUGGCGUGGGUGUGCACACACAUUGAAACAACCACUGCACAUGCAUACGCAUGUCUUUAUUUCUUUCUUUUUUUUUUUUUUUUCCGGAGAAUCAGGACAGUAGCCUGCAUCAGGGAGAGUAUCCGUGGGAUUUUUUUUUUUUUUCACCAGCCCUUGGAAUAGAUUAGGAUAGGAGGGCAAUGGGGCUUAGAGAGGAAGACAGGCUUGAGAAAGUGUGUGUACAAUUAAACUCACACAGUGGACUUUUUCAAUCAUUGGAACACUUGAUGGAGAAAAGUAACACAACGUGUGGAGAAUGUGAAACGCUGUUCUCCUUGCCCCCCCCACCCCCCGGGCAUAACUCUGGGAAAUGCAUGUUCCAGUAAAGGAAUUUUGCUUUAAGAAACAUUUUUCACCAAAAUUAAAGCUUUUUAAAUUUAAUGUCCUUCCUUUUAAGUUGCUUUUUUUUUUUCUUCUUUUUCUAUUACAGGAUAUUGUUCCGUCGUUCAGGCUGGAAUGCAGCUACUCAACCUUGGCUCACCGCAGCCUCCACCUCCCAGGCUCAAAUGAUUCUGCCAAGUCCGGCUCCAGAGUAGCUGCAACUCCUGGCAUGUGCUACCUUGGCCAGCUAGUGUUUGUAUAUCUUGUAGAGACAGGAUCUCCCUAAGUUUCCUAUGCUUGUCUUCAACUCCCUGGCUCAAACAUUGUGCCCAUGCUGGCCUCUCAAUGUGCUGGGAUUACAGGCAUGGGCCACCCACCCAUUCCAGUCGGUUUAUUUUUGAGGUUUAUUGCAUCACAGAGGCCCAGAGCAUAGGCUCUGGAAUUAGAAUGUUGAACUUAGCACUUUAAACUUCCCUUUCUGGGUAAGAUACUCAGCUUCCCUAUGCAUUGGUUCCUCUGUCUAUAAAAUAAUUUUAUUAAUAGUAUGUACCUACACAUACUAUUUGAGCAUCAAGUGAGCAAAAAUGUGGAAAAUGCAUGGAACAUUGCCUGGCAAAUGAUGGAUGUUUUUGUUGUUUUGUUUUCCAAUACAGGAUGUCACUCUUCACCCAGGCUGGAGCACAGUGGCAUGACCGUGGCUCACUGCAGCCUCCACCUCCCCAAGCUGAGAUGAUUCUCCCACAUCAGUUUCCUGAGUAGCUAAAACUACAGGCAAGCGCCAUCACCACUGGUUAAUUUUUGUAUUUUCUGUUGAGAUGGACUCUCCCUCUGUUUCCUAGGCUGAUUGUGAAUUCUGCUCAAAUGAUCCACCCAACUUGGUCUCACAAAGUGCUGGGAUUGUAGGCGUGAACCAUCCACUCAUCUUGGAUGCCUUGCUUUUUAGAAACAUUGCAUCACAGCAUAGUCCCUGAACUCAGAAUGUUGAACCUACAUGUUAAAACAUCCCUUUCUAGGCAAAACACUGAACUUCUUUAUGCAUAGGUUCCUCUGUCUGUAAAAUGAUGAUAUUGGUAGUACAUACAUACACCUACACGGUUUUGAGCAACAUUGAGUUAAAUGUGAAAAUGCAUGGAACAUUACCUGGCAAAUGAUAAGCUCGUAAUGAGGGAUAUUACUAUAAUUAAUACAAAUACUACAUUUUAGAAAAAUAAUCAAGGAUGAUUAUUUGCAGAUUAUCUAGCUAAGUUUAUCUUCCGUUAGAAUCCUCAAGCAGUGCAUCUAGUCAUGAAUUUAGCAAACAUAUGUGGAGAGCAUGGGUCUAGGUGUCAGUGGUUCAGUCAAAACACAUCGCGGUCCUUUCCCCCUUGCUCUCACAUUCUAGAGAGGAAGACAAGAAUGAAGCUUGGUAUGUAAUAUGUAACUGGAAUAUUUAGAAUGUUAAAAUACACCAACUGAUUAGAAGAAUGAGAAAUUAACUGGAGAAAUGGGAGGCAAAAUAUUACAUGGCUCAUGAACACUGCACAGAGGAACCAGGGAAGGCAAGAAGAGGUCUCUGGCUUUGUAAGUACAUGCUCAAUUGAUCGUCCCAGAAAUGAACUCAAUGUGGCUAAUUUAUUUUAUGAAUAAACUUGAUGGAAGAUGGACUAAUAGCAAAAUGCACAUAGUACAUUGUUUAUCAAUUUUUGUUUAACCAAAAAUCUUCUUGGGCUGUUACAUUAUUAUUUUUGCAGGAUAACAACCGGAUUUAUGAAAAUAUUCACCUUUCGACAUGUGGGCUACCAGUUUUACUUCCUGUGCUCUAGGCUGAGAGUUAACGUGUUUGGUGAGAGUAGAACUGACCGUGUAGGAGGACAAUGAUGUGGCUUUUCAUCUAAGGCUUUUUUCAUGGUGUUUUUAUCUUUCCUUUGCCAAUGACCUAAUCCGAUUGCAGCAAAAUAAAUCUCGUGCUCCUUGCUACUGGAAUUUGGAGCAUGUAACAAACCAGAAAUUGCCUCUGCGUCAUGUCUCUUCAGUUUAGUUACUUUUAAAUGUAUGUACUGAUUCAUUUAUUUUCUGUUACUUAAGGAUUUAAUACAAGGGUUUUCCCCCUGGCCAGAGUCAUGAACCACUGAUUUGAAGCAUGUCGGAGUGGCAACAGAAACCAUGAUUAGACCAUGUAUCUGGGAAUGUAGAACCAGGAAACUUGAGUCUCAUGUCCUGGGCAUCUAAACACUGAGCCACUAGACUGCAAGGGGCCACUCUAUCCUCAAAAAGGAAGAUGUCAAAAACUGGAAACAAAGCAGUAUCCAAUUCGGGAGCAUAAACUAACAACUUGUACUACAGGAUACACUGAAAUGCUCUUCAGUCUUAAAAGGGAAAAAUUACUAAUACAUGCCAUACCAUGAAUGAAAAAAUUAUGCUUUUAUGAUGACUGAAAGAAGCCACAUAGGAGGGAACUCAUGCCCUAUGAUUCCAAUUUAAGUCCUAGAUUUUAAAAAGCUAACACAAAGUGAUAAAAAUUCAAUCCCUAAUCAUCUGAGGAGAAAGUGGAAAGAGUUGAGAAGAAAGGGCGUGACAAAACUCGCUGGAUGACAAAUUGCUUUCUUAUUCAUUGGGAUGUUACUAUAUGUAAUAUCCUCAUAUCAUCAACAAACAAUUUGUGUUCCUAAAAGGGGUACUUUUUUGAUGUAAAUUAUACUAAAAUAACAUUAAAAUUUUGAAAUGAUAAAGGCCAGUGGCAGUAAUAAUAGACUUAUUUGGAAAGGAUAUUUUUUUCUUGAUUUCAGGACACACUUAAGCCUCCACAAAUUUGUCAUAAUUCUGGUAAGAGGAAGUCCUUAUAGUGACUGAAAUGUAAUUACCUGCCACCCAAGUUGGACGGUUAUGUAGACAGAAUGGAGAUAAUUUAUAGGAACCAAUGUAUUGACAGAAAUAUGUACCUGGAAAAUAGCAUUACAUAAGUAAUAUUAUCUUAAAAUAAAUGAAUGUAGAAAUUCUUCCAUCAGUAAUAUUUAAAACAUGCUUAAUGAUUUAAAACACCUUCUAUCAGUGUGAAAUCUGGGAUGCAAUAAUACUUUUUAUUUUAUUUAUUUAUUUAAUCUUCUCUUAAAAUUGUACUUUACAUUCUGGGGUACAUGUGCAGAUCAUGCAGGGUUGUUGCACAGGUACAUACAUGGCAAGUUGGUUUGCUGCCUCCAUCCCCCUGUCACCUAUAUCUAGCAUUUCUUCCCAUAUUAUCCCUCUCCAACCUCCCCACUUCCCACUGUCCCUCCCCUUGCCUCCCACACCAUACCCCAGUGUGUGAUGCUCCCCUCCCUGUGUCCAUGUGUUCUUUUUGUUCAACAACCGCAUAUGAGUGAGAACAUGCUGUGUUUCAUUUUCUGUUCUUGUGUCAGUUUGCUGAGAAUGAUGGUUUCAAGAUUCAUCCAUGCCCCUACAGAGGACACACAUUCAUCAUUUUUUAUGGCUGCAUAGUAUUCUACAGUGUAUAUGUGCCACAUUUUUCAUGCCCAGUCUAUCACUGAUGGGCAUUUGGGUUGGUUCCUCAUCUUUGCUAUUGUAAACAGUGCCACAAUGAACAUAACAUGUGCAUAUGUCUUUAUAAUAGAACUAUUUGUAAUCCUCUGGAUAUAUACCCAGUAAUGGGAUUGCUGGGUCAAAUGGUAUUUCUAUUUCUAGGUUCUUGAGGAAUCCCCACACUGUGUUCCACAUGGUUGAACUAAUUUACACUCCGGCCAACAGUGUAAACGUGUUCCUAUUUCUUCACAUCCUCUCCAGCAUCUGUCUCCAAAUUUUUGAUGAUUGCCAUUCUAACCGGUGUGAAAUGGUCUCUAAAUGUGGUUUUGAUUUGCAUUUCUCUAAUUACCAGUGAUGAUGAGCAUUUUUUCAUAUGUUUGUUGGCCUCAUAAAUGUCUUCUUUUGAAAAAUGACUAUUCAUGUCCUUCGCCCACUUUUGAAUGGGUUUGUUUGUUUUUUUCUUGUAAAUCUGUUUUAAUUCUUUGUAGAUUCUGGAUAUUAGCCCUUUGUCAGAUGGGUAGAUUGCAAAAAUUUUUUCCCAUUCUUUUGGUUGCUGGUUCACCUUAAUGAUUGUUUAUUUUGCUGUACAGAAGCUCUGGAGUUUAAUCAGAUCCCAUUUGUCUAUUUUGGCUUUUGUUGCCAAAGCUUUUGGUGUUUUAGUCAUGAAGUCUUUGCCUAUGCCUAUGUCCUGAAUGGUUUUGUCUAUUUGUUCUCCAGGAUUUUUAUGGUGUUAAGUCCUAUGUUUAAGUCUUUAAUCCAUCUGGAGUUAAUUUUAGUGUAAGGUAUCAGAAAGGAGUCCAGUUUCUGCUUUCUUCACACUGCUAGCCAGUUUUCCCAACACCAUUUAUUAAACAGGGAAUCCUUUCCCCAUUGCUUGAUUUUAUCAGGUUUGUCAAAUAUCAGAUGGUUGUAGAUGUGUAGCAUUGCCUCCGAGGCCUCUUUUCUGUUCCAUUGGUCUAUAUCUCUGUUUUGGCACCAGUACCAUGCUGCUUUGAUUACUGUAGCCUUGUAGUACAGUAUUAAGUCAGGUAGUGUGAUGUCUCCAGCUUUGUUCUUCUUGCUUAGGAUUGUCUUGGCUAUGUGGGCUCUCUUCUUGUUCCAUAUGAAGUUUAAGAUUUUUUUUCCAGUUCUGUGAAGGAUGUCAUUGGUAACUUGAUGGGGAUAACAUUGAAUCUAUAAAUUACUUUGGGCAGUAUGGCCAUUUUCAUGAUAUUGAUUCUUCCUAACCAUGAACAUGGAUUGUUUUUCCAUCUGUUUGUGCCGUCUCUUAUUUCCUUGAGCAGUGGUUUGUAGUUCUCCUUUAGGAGGUCCUUUACAUCCUUUGUUAGUUGUAUUCCUAGGUAUUUUAUUCUCUUUGUAGCAAUUGUGAAUGGGAGUUCAUUCUUGAUUUGGCUCUCUUUAAGUCUGUUAUUGGUAUAUAGGAAUGCUUGUGAUUUUUGCACAUUGGUCUUAUAUCCUGAGACUUUGCUGAAGUUGCUUAUCAGUUUCAGGAGAUUUUGGGCUGAGAGGAUGGGGUCUCAUAUACAGUCAUAUCAUCUGCAAAUAGAGACAAUUUGAUUCCCUCAUUUCCUAAUUGAAUACUUUUAUUUCCUUUUCUUGCCUGAUUGCUCUGGCUAGAACUUCCGAUACUAUAUUGAAUAGGAGUGGUGAGAGAGGGCAUCCUUGCCUAGUGCCAAAUUUCAAAGGGAAUUCUUCCAAUUUUUGCCCAUUCAUUAUGAUAUUGGCUGUGGGUUUGUCAUAAUACUUUUAAUAACAGAGUAGGUACUUUAAGAAUCUCUGACAUAGAAGAUAGAAAAUUCCUGUGCUUGGGUUUUGGCUGUCCUAUUUCCAAGCCUUAGAACAUCAUAUACCCUUACAGUUUUUCCUACUCAUCUUCCUAUUUAUAUUUUUGGACUACAGGACAUUUUAAGUAAUACAACUUAGAUACCAAAGUCCACACUGAGAGUACCAAGAUCAACUUCUGUUCAUGAGCUGUAGAUUUCGGAUAAGUUAUUUAAUAUCUCUCAGCCUCUGUGUUCUCACGUAUAGGAGAGGCAUCGUAAUCAUUCUUACCUUCUAGGAUGUGAUGCCAGGUGUAGAGGGCAUGCCACACUAUCUCUCAUUUAUGAUAGUCAUGAUCUAUAGCCCAGAAGCAUGGUCACGUUGAAAUGUACUGUUUCAUUAGGUACUUCUAUAUUUUUCCUAUGCUUCAUUUCAGUAUGUUAAGGAAGAAUUAAUUUUAUUUUAUGAAUAGGAAGACCAGGUAAGAAGUUGUUUCAAAGCCUUGGUAAGCACAUGUUGAAGAACUGGGUGAGAAGCCAGCCCACCUCCUCACUCAUUAUUGCUCUGUGAGGUGCGCUUCUUUCCAGCUGGGCACUACGCUGGGAAAUCUGAAAUAGAUAAGCAGACAAAAAGUGCUUGUUUGUGUCAGUGAAAAAUAAAUUCUGAGUUAAAAGCAUCUAGACUAUGACAAUUUAUAACCAUCAGCCUCAGAAACGUAUUUAAACUGGUCAGAUGGGCAACAGGAAACCAUGGCAGCUUUCUAGGUAGGAGAGUCAUGUUAACAUGCUUCUAAAGUAACUAUUUCAUAUCGAGUGUUUAACCAGGCCCAGGCCCUGCGAUAGAUGCUUCAUCUGUAUUGGUUCCGCUAGUGGAACCAUUUAAAAAUAUUGGUGCUUGGACUAACCCCAGAUUACAAAAUCAAAAUCUCAUCCUGAGCCUCGCCCUUGAGACUCCAUGCUCCACAACAUCCAGAAUUUAAUAGGGCAUGUUCUUUGAGGCGUUGCUUGUCACAUAUGAACCAGGAGCUGGGCCCUGAGUGGCCUGAGUGUUGGUGACAGGGAAGGGGUAAGAAUGUCUGGGAGUUGGGGCUGACUACAGAAAGAAGCUGCAGAAGAGUAGGAAGGAGUUAGGAUGAAGCAGUAAAGAGCUUGCCUGGACAGGCAGGAAGCCAGGAGGUGUGUGGUUUCCUUGUGUCAGAUUUCUUUAGCAGCAGUACAGAUAACAACUGAUGCAUAAAACCUACACGAGUUAGAAAGGCUCAUCUUGGAACCAGAUAGAGCCAAACCUCUGAGAAUGGACAGACAUGGUCUUGGAUGUGGUGUGUUGCCUAGCAGCAGAAGCAGAAGCCAUUCUUCUCCUUCAGCCCACUCGAAAUAUGAACUACACUGACAGACAAAGUAUAUAAAUACACUGGAAAGGAAGCCGCUAUGAGGGUAUAUCAGCAGAAACAAGAGACUAUAAACUUAGAUCUUGAAGGGCAUUCAGAUGUUGGACCAAUCAAAUAUAAAAUAUACAAUGAAAGUGUAUGAAGGAAUUAAAUAAAGGGAGCAAAAAGUAGCUAUUCUAUAAAAAGAAAUAAUUAGAGAAACAUUAAAAAUGGAGCAUGUAUAAAUAUGAAAAAUUAGUUAUAUUUAGUAAUGGACAGAUUAAAAGGCAGACACACAAAGUCUGUAAAAAUGUAAAGGAUCUGGAAAAUAAAGGUACAGUUGACCUUUGAACAAUGCAAUGCUUAGAGGUGCUGACCCUCACACACACUGUUAAAAAUCUGCAUAUAACUGUUGACUCUCCCCAAACUUAACUACUAAUGGCCUGCUGUUGAAGGGAAGCCUCACCAAUAACAAAAACCACUGAUUAACAGAUAUUGUGUGUGUUAUAUGCAUUAUAUGCUCUAAUGUAGAGUAAACUAAAGUAAAUAAAAUGUUAUUAAGAAAAUACUAAGAGAGAGAAAAUAUAUCUACAAUUGAUUAAGUAGAAAUGGUCCAUCAUAAGGUUUUUGUUUGUUUGUUUGUUUGUUUGUUUGUUUGUUUGUUUGUUUUUGACAGAGUCUUGCUCUGUUGCUAGGCGCCAGGCUGGACUGCAGUUACGUGAUCUCGGCUCACCGCAACCUCCACGUCCUGAGUAGCUGGGACUACAGACGUGCACCACCACGCCCAGCUAAUUUUUGUUUUUUAGUAGAGACGGGAUUUCACCAUGUUGGCCAGAAUGGUCUCAAUCCCUUGACCUCGUGAUCCGCCCUCCUCGGCCUCCCAAAGUGCUGGGAUUAUAGGCGUGAGCCACCAAGCCGGCCCCAUCCAUCAUAAGGUCUUCGUCCUCAUCGUCUUCACAUUGAGUAGUCUGAAGAGAGGGAUGGCUUAGACUCGCGGUCUCCUGGGUUGCAGAGGCAGAAAAAGAAGAAGAGGUGGAACAGAAAGCAGGAGAAGCAGGCAUACUAAGGAUAUCUUUGUGGAAAUACGAAGUUAUUUCUGUCUGACUUUUUUGCUUUUUCAUCUCCCUAAAUUAUGUUUCUAAACAGUAUCAAUCUUUCACCAUUUCCUUUGGUUUCAGUGCUCAUAUCAUAGAACGGUCUUUGUUGUAAAACAGGCUAUAAUCUGCCUUGAAUAAUCAGAAUCCUUCUGCCAAAUUAUAAUGCCAGUUUGUGCUCUGGCACUGCUUCUUCUACGUUUUCCUCACCGUUUGGAGCUGGUUCAGACGCACUCAUCUCUAUCAAGCUGUCUUCGGUUAAUUUCCCUAAUGUGCAAUUAGCUCUUGAAUUUUAUAAGAUUCAUGUCUUAAAAAUCUUCACUUUUUUUUGCCAUAUCCACAAUCUCUUUCAUUAUUUUCUUGAAUUGUUGUAUUGUGUACCAUAAAAACAUAUUCAAGUCCUCUCUCUGCCACCCCAGUAACUCAGAAUGUGCUCUUAUUAGGAAAUACAGUCCUUGCAAAUGUAAUCAGUUACAAUGAAGUUAUUUUGAAUUGGUGUAGGGCAAUCAUCCAGCAUAACUCAUGUUCUUAUCAAAGAAAAGAGGCUCACAGGGACAGCAACAUGUGAAGACACAGACACGCAGCAGGAAGGAAGCAAGAUAAUCACGAAACCCAAGAACUGAGUGAUGUAGCUGCCAGCAGGGAACACCAAGAUUGCUGGAGACAACCAACAGGAAGAGGGAGGUCACCGUCUUACUCUACUCACACCUUGAUUUCCGGCUUCUCGCCUCUGGCAGUGUGAGAAAAUGGAUUUCCAUUUAAACCUCCCUGUUUGUAGUGAUUUUUCAUGGCAGCCCUAGGAUAAAUACAGGCAUUAUCAGUUCCGUUUUGCAGAUGGGAAAACAGAGUCUCAGAGAGACUGAUUACGUACCCAUGGAGUAGAGAGCAGUCUCACCUCAUGGAUCCAUGAUCCGGUAAUGGAACGACUACGAGUGCUGGAACAGAUGUAAAAACUGGUGACCCACAGAAUCCAUUGAGUCCAGUGAUAUUUCCUUGGCUCUCAGAGGUGUGAUUUAUCUUGACAUUGAAUGAUUUAUCAGAGGUGAAAAACUCUAAGAUUUUGAAUAUGUUGCAUUUCAGGCCUCUGUUCCUUGAAUUUCAAGAUGGAAAGAAUUACCUGGUACUGAGCCAUGAUGACGCAUUCAUGAUUCCUUCUGAGUUUUCCUGUGUUCACCUAAUCUGAUUAACUUACUGUAUGUUCUCUACCAAGCAUAUAUGGUGUCUGUAUUUGUGGCCUCUGCCUGGGAGAGCUGAGAUCAGACUUGAAGUCAGUAAAUCUUAUUAAGAUUAUUAUCAAAACUAGUUUUAAUCUUACCACUUUAUGCUGAUGUAAUGAUUUGUACGAUAAUUCACUUUGAAUCUCAUUUCCCUAUCUGUCAGCUGCCUGCCUUGGAGAAAUUGUUGUAUUAAAUUUAAUGUCUGAAAACCAACAAUACCGAUUGAACAGCAGAAAUAUAUUAAUGUUACCUAUUAUCUCUGAUUCUUCAUGUGUCUGUAAUGCUAGAAAAAUGUAAGUUAAAUGAGGGAAAAUUUUUCAUAAGAUAAAGCAACAGCAUAUUUCCACAAGGAUUUCAAAAAAGUGACUCAAUGUCUCCAUUUCAAGGGAGAAGGGAGGGUAAAACAAUCUAACAACUAUAUUGAUUAACAGAAGAAAGGAAAUUUAAUGGAUAAAUAAUGCAACCUAAGUUUCAUAAGUCAUGUAGUAUGUGAUGUUAGUUUUCAGUGUGUAGCUGAGAAAAGUCAUUGUUGUCACAUGACACACCACUUCAGCCUGCCUGACCUUAGUUCUGCUGUGGUGGUGGUCACACAACAAGCCACUGUGCCUCAGGUUCUUUCUGCUUUGAAAAUUGGAGAUAUUCAUCAAGACUGAGGGCUGUUUAGCUGUUCAUAUGUGGGUCAAGAAUUCUGGGAGUGGGAGAACCAGCUCCUGGGGGCUAAUUUCAAACAAAGAAUGGCAUUAGUCAGUUGAUGAAUGUCGCUAAUUUCCCAUCUUCUAGUAAGGUUGAAUCUACAUAAUUGUAGAAGAUCUCUAACAAAGAUUGAAACCCAGUUUCUCAGAGCAGUAAUAAAUUCAUCAAUGCAACUUUUGGGGAGAUUAUCUUCCUUUCAUCUCCCUUCCCCACUCCCUCACUUCCGUUUCUUGGAAAUUCUUUCCAAAUAAUACCUACACUCAAGUCCCUGACUCCUCCAACUUCGUGGUCAACCAAACUGUGUCAUCAUCAUCAUCUUCACCACCACUACCAUUGUUGCCAUCAUCAUCUCUGUUGAGCACUUUACAUAUGAAAAGAACGAAGACUAGUUUUCUGCAUAUAUCAUGUCAUAUAAUUCUUGCUGCAUUACAAAAUGUCUAGGAUUAACUCUCCUCACUGAUAGAACUUCAUAGCUAAGUUAAUUGCACAUAUAAUCAGACAUCUAAUAACAAGUAUGGGGCAGAGGUAGCCGAGGCCCUGAAGCAACCCUUUCAUUCUUGUGAUGUCAAAGUGAGCCUCAUUCCUUGGAGGCAGAUGGUCAAACUUUCAUAUUGCAUAUGGUGAGAGCCAGGCGUCUGCGGCCCUUUCUCCUUUUUAUUGGGUAGAUCUGCAGGAGGUGGAGAGGAAGUGAUGAGGAUUACCUGAGUCUCUUUUCAACUUCCAUAUGCCUCACAAUUUUGCUUUUUUAAGACCUCUUCUAGCUAACCUCUGUCAAAACACACUGCCUGCCCCUCUUUCAAGAGCCCAGAGCAAGAACCAGGACAUAUCUGGAAUGAUUGCUCAAGAAACUUAAGGAAACUAGAAUAACUCCUACCCCCUUUCUUCUUCUUUUUCUUCUAUACCUACUCAAACAUUUCUUAUAUUCAAGUUCGAAUCUAAUUUCAUAAAAACCAAGAGAUGCCCUUGGCUCCAGUAAAAAUGAAUGUAUCAAAGCUUCUUUGCCUUCCAUACUAUGAUUACAGUGAUACUAUUUUGAAAACAUCAACUUACAAUGUUUUUAAAGCUUUAAUUCUAUUUUCAAAUAUGCUUCAUAUAUAGGUUUUUCAACAAGAGUACAAGCAGUUACUUCUUAACUAUGUUAUUUUACAACUAAUUGUAUUCUGUGGCUAUAGUGGAAAUUGUAGUAAAUCUCAAAUAGAUAUGAGAAUCAAUCAAUAAGGAAAUAAUGCAUCUACAUUUUAUCAUGGUUUCAAUGAGCACUGGUAUCUGUUUGAAGCCAUGUGAACCCUUUCUUGCUGAUAGCAUCUGUGGUAAAGGUUACCACUAUCUCCACUCCAGCCACCGAGUGCUUUAAAUAUUUGUGCAUUUAUGGCUGUCACUGUGGCUCCAGCCUGUAAUCUCAGUGGGUUUCAUGAAGCCUGGAUUUAGAGAUCAGUCUGGGCAACAUGGUGGGUCUUUGUCUCUGAAAGAAUUAAAACAGUCAGCCAUGCACACACAGGGGUGCAUCUGUGGUCCUAGCUACUUGGGAGGCUGAGGCUGGAGAAUAUCUUGAGCCCAGGAAUUCAAGAUAGCAGUCAGCUAUGAUCAUAUCUUGGCACUCCAGGCUGGGCAAGAGAGCAAGACCCCACUAAAAAAAAAUAGUGCAUUUAAUGAAAGCGAUUGUUUCUCUCCUUUUGUCCAUUUCAUACAGACAGCACAGCACCUCUCCAGGUUUUCCUUUACAGUCUCAGGAAUUCUCCAUACAGACAAAGCUUGGGAGUAUUUGUAGAUUCUGCGGACUCAGAAGAAUCUGAGAGAAUCUGAGAAGAAGCUGACUCAGCUAUGGGGUAUCGCAAAUUAUAAAUUAUGGCUCAUGCCUCUGUGACCCAGUUUAUCACCUAAGAAGGUUGAGAGAGAGAGAGAGAGAGAGAGAGAGAUCCUAGGAAAAGGACUGCUUGGCACUAGGGAUUAUAGCUGUACUUACUUUCAGCUUAAGGAACUGUAUUGUUACUCUGAAAGAAAAAGGAAUUUUCUGAUAAAGAAAGCAGACCCCUGCCACCCACCAAAAAAUAAAAUAAAAUAAAGCAAUCAUAGAUUCUGAUCAUUCUGGAGAAAAAAAUCUUAAUGAUUUUGGGUUACAUUUGGCCUUUUUGUAUUCAGAAAAAGUUUGAUUUUUUUUCUGUGUU
Non-coding RNA from Callithrix jacchus (white-tufted-ear marmoset), 16636 nucleotides. NCBI's taxonomy places the organism in Eukaryota, Metazoa, Chordata, Mammalia, Primates, Cebidae. The record is from RefSeq and is a predicted model, not a curated record.